UAAGUACUCUCUCUGACCAACAAAGGAUGUCUCAGUUUUGAUUAAAUUUGAAUGUAUCUAUACACUAAAUUACAUCUAGAUACAUUUAAAUUUUGACAAAUUUGAAACAUCUUUUGUUGGACGGAGGGAGUAGGAC
Brachypodium distachyon (stiff brome) is the source of this 136-nucleotide non-coding RNA. The record is from Rfam. Lineage: Eukaryota; Viridiplantae; Streptophyta; Magnoliopsida; Poales; Poaceae.